This 89-nucleotide transfer RNA is filed under the name Flammeovirgaceae bacterium. Its description in RNAcentral is "tRNA-Leu". It matches the Rfam family "tRNA". From Rfam's summary of the family: Transfer RNA (tRNA) molecules are approximately 80 nucleotides in length. Lineage: Bacteria; Pseudomonadati; Bacteroidota; Cytophagia; Cytophagales; Flammeovirgaceae. The record is from RNAcentral. RNAcentral also lists the same sequence under 1 other name.
GCGCACGUGGCGGAAUUGGUAGACGCGCUAGGUUGAGGGCCUAGUGGCCGUUUUAGGCCGUGGAAGUUCGAGUCUUCUCGUGCGCACCA